RNAcentral lists this long non-coding RNA (210 nucleotides) under Gossypium barbadense (sea-island cotton). RNAcentral's name for it is "long non-coding RNA (GBAR_LNC001337)". The record is from RNAcentral. Lineage: Eukaryota; Viridiplantae; Streptophyta; Magnoliopsida; Malvales; Malvaceae.
GUGAUUCAAUGGCUAAAGAGUCCUUAUCUUGCUUACCUUUAAGCACUUAAGGAAUAACUUCACCUUCACCCUUACCUUUGUUGAUCAAUCGAAAUGGUCUCUCAUCAGGAAGUUAAUGAAUUUGAAACUUAUCAAUUGAAUCUCCAGAAACUUGAAAAGAAGAAAUAAUAUGAGGACAACUCAUAUGUAGGUUAGUAAAAACAUUCCUCC